RNAcentral lists this ribosomal RNA (27 nucleotides) under Pezicula sp. 1. RNAcentral describes it as "partial 28S ribosomal RNA". Lineage: Eukaryota; Fungi; Ascomycota; Leotiomycetes; Helotiales; Dermateaceae. RNAcentral also lists the same sequence under 4 other names. The record is from RNAcentral.
GGUUGACCUCGGAUCAGGUAGGGAUAC